UGGCCAGAUAAGGGAAUAAAGGCAGGCUGCUGGAGCCAGCAGUGGCAACCUGCUGAGGUCACGUUGUACACUGUGGAGGCUUUGUGCUUUUGCUUGUUGCAGUAACUCUUGCUGUUGCCCACUGUUUGGGUCCACACUGACUUUAUGAGCUGUAGCAGUCACCGUGAAGGUCUGCAGCUUCACUCCUGAGGCCAACAAGACCACGAACCCUCCAGGAGGAAUAAACAACUCUGGACAGGAGAAACGAACAACUCCAGACGCGGCCGGACGUGCCAUCUUAAGAGUUGUAACACUCACUGCAAAGGUCUGCGGCUUCACUCUUGAAGCCAGCAAGACCACGAACCCACCAGAAGGAAGAAACUCUGAACACGUCCGAACAUCAGAAAGAACGGACUUCGGACACACCAUCUUUAAGAACUGUAACACUCACUGCGAGGGUCCGCGGCUUCAUUCUUGAAGAGUCAGUCAGACCAACAACCCACCAAUUUCGGACACAGUUAUACAUGGCUGUCUGUAUGAGGAACUUAAAGAUGAAGAGGAAACUCACCCGAGUUCACUCAGUUAAUAAACAGGAAACAUAUCCUACUCCUAAACCAUCCACUCCGCCCUCUGCUUCUGGACAGAGAUCUUUCAUGAGUGUUGGUUGGUGACAAGAACAUGAAACUACAUAGUUUGGAAAAUUUUCAGCUUUAAGUCAAGUUGAUGACCAAAGGUUAGCAAAUAUUCCUCAUUUAUUAUCUGCAAGUGGGAAGACAUAACAUAUAUAGAUUUCCAAGCCACAGCAUUCCAAACUUCCUUUUAUAUUUUCAUUUAUUUUUCCUAUAAAAUAUAUUUAACCAAAGAUGUUAAAUGUCUCUUAGGCAAUAGGAUAUCUUUCAACCAGAAGCUACUACUGAUUAGAUUGACUAGUCUCCAGGUUUCCUUUCCACCCACAAGAUUAUCAUUUUCUUAGACAAUGAAGUUAGUGGGGAGAGAGAGACAGAUGAUCAGUAAGCUUAUAUAACUAGGCCUUGAGUAAUCAUAAGUUUAUCAUUUUUUUCCCAGUAAAUAAAGCAAGAAGAGAUAGGAGAUGCUGUAUCUUUUAUUUUUAUCAAAAAAUCCUAAUGAGAAUUAGAUUUUAAAAAAGAGUCAUGCAUCACUUAAAGACAAACAUUUGUUCUGAGAAGUAAGUCAUUACACAAUUUCAUCAUGGUGUGAAAAUCAUAGAGUGUACUUAUACAGACUUAAAUGUUAUAGCUGACUACAUACCUGGACUAUAGGGUAUAGUCUAUUGCUGCUAGGCUACAAACCUGUACGGCAUGUUACUGUACUGAAUACUGUAGGCAAUUGAAACACAAUGGUAUUCGUGUAUCUAAACAUACUUAAACAUACAAAAGGUACAAUAAAAACACAGUAUAAAAGAUUUUUUUAAGUGGUACACCUGUGUAGGGUACUAACAUGAAUAGAGCUUGGAGGUCUGGAAGUUGCUCUUGAGAGUCAAUGAGUAAUGAAUGAAUGUGAAAGCCUACAACAUUAUUGUAUACUACUGUAGAUUUUAUAAAUACUGUAUGCUUAGGCCACUCUAGGUUUGUUAGAAAAUUUUCUGUCUUAAAUAAAAAACUAACCUUAGUGUACUAGAACUUUUUUACUUUAUAAAUUUUUCAAAUUUUUAAACCUUUUGGCUCUUAAAUAAUGCUUAGCUUAAAUCACAAACACAUGUACAGCUGUAUAAAAUAAUUUCUUUAUGGGCCAGACACAGUGGCUUAUGCCUGUAAUCCCAGCACUUUGGGAGGCUGAGGCGGGCAGAUCACAAGGUUAGGAGAUUGAGCCCAUCCUGGCUAACACGGUGAAACCCCGUCUCUACUAAAAAUACAAAAAAUUAGCCGGGCAUGGUGGCGUGCACCUGUAGUACCAGCUACUCGGGAGGCUGAGGCAGGAAAAUGGUGUGAACCCGGGAGGCAGAGCUUAUAGUGAGCGGAGAUCACACCACUGCAUUCCAGCCUGGGUGACAGAGAGAGACUCCGUUUCAAAAAUUAAAACUAAAUAAAUAAAUAAAUAAUAAAUAAAUAAUUUCUUUACAUCUUAUUCUAUUUUGAAUUUUUUAAGCUUUUAAACCUUUUAUUAAAAAUUAAGAACCAAACACACACCAUAGUCUAGGCCUACAUGGAGUCAGGAUUAUCAAUAUCACUGUCUUCUACCUCCACAUCUUGUCCCACUGAAAUGUCUUCAGCAACAAUAACACACAUGAAGCUGUCAUCUCCUAUGACAACAAUGCGUUCUUUUGGAAUACUUCCUGAGGGACCACCACAAUCCCAUGGAUAGUGAGUGAUACUACAAUGUUAAGACAGCCAUGACAUCACUAGGCAGUAGGAAUUGUUCAGCUCUAUUGUAAUCUUACAGGACCACGGUUGUAUAUGUGGUCCGUCAUUGACCAAAAUGUUGUUAUGCAAUGCAAAGCUGUAUGUCAGGCAGUUUGUUUUGCAAAAUUAGCAUCAAUAUUUGCCUGUGGCCUGUAAUGUAACACAAAUGUUACAUACUGUUUUCUAUUGAUUCUUGUAUCACCUCUAUACUCGUCUAAUUAUCCUCUAUAUGUAAACUUUAAUUAUGGUUUAUAGAUAAUUAACUUUUUAUUAUAUUAACAAAUAUAACUCUUUACAUUACAAAUGCCUAAGAGAAUACAAGUUUCUAAUAGUUUAACAUUAUUUCAUGGAUUUCUAUAUAUUCCUGCCAUAUAAGAGAACAUCUUGGAAGAAAAGAGAGCAUCUUCCAGUGAAUUUUUCUCCAUGAAGAUCAUGCUGAAUUUCAUCUUUCCAUUGAUUUUUCCCCUCUAUUCCUCUAUAGGGUUAUGAUCAUUGGGCAGCUUGGUAACCUACUUCAGACAACAUUUAGUAUAGCAGUAAAUAUGUGUGAGCACUGAAGAAUAAAACUAAACAAUAAUAGCUAGAAGAAAUUGAUUUAAAACAUUUAACAACAAUAAUUUUUCAUUUCAUUUGCUAUAAGCGAUAUGUUUAUUCUAAACAAAUGAAAAAUAAUUGGUGGAAGGUAUUUUGUCACUCACCAGGCCAGCAGUGACAAGUGUAAUUGUCAACACUGUCCUCACAUGUAGCAUUAUUGUGACAAGGUUUUGACCAACAAAGAGGCAUCAAGGUCUCACAGUGUGUCCCUGUGAAUCCACUACCCGUGCAGUUACAGCUAUAUCUGGAAAGUAAAUGAAAUUUUCGUGUCAACUCUUGGUCAUAUUGAGAUCAGAUAUCUUUAUACUGUUUCUUCAUCUGUCCAUCAACCCAAGACCCAUGGCAUAGUCUUACUACCUCAAAAACUCUGGGGAAUUAUCUAUACAGGACUGAAUGCAUGAUUUAUUUCCAUAUUAAUGUCUUAUUAAUUUUAAAAAAUUUAAAGUACAGGUUCAUGCAAACCAUGACUAUUUACUUCAGUUUCUUCAUUCAUAAAUUGAAUAUAGUAUCUAUAUUACAAGGUUAUUGUAACAAUUAAGUAUGCAUAUAAAGAAUAGACACAGUAUCCGCAUAUCUGAAGUACUAAAUAUGUUGCUACUAAAUAGCACUUAAUAAAAUUGUUAAUAUUUUUUAAGGUGGUAGAGAAUGAUUUAUACCAUCAUGGCACUCUGUUAUACAGAGAGCCCAUUAAUAAGGUUCCAUAUGAAAAGUGAAACCAUAAAUUAUGAAAAACUCAGGAAAAGCCUUUAUUAAAUGAAUUGUGACUUACGAUGUUCUCUUAUUUUUAGAUUGCAAGAAUAUUUAGGCCUUACUAUUUCUAAUUAUUAACGCAAUGACUGGAAUUAUCAAAUAGCCCCAAAAUACAAAUCUAAUGAAGAAAGUUGUUGAUUUUAUUAAGAGGAGACUUUUAAUUUAGGUGGGGGUCUCCUCGAGGAUUUAGUAUUGUAAAAAAUGUACCUGCACACUCAGCUUAGGCAAAAUGAGGGUCUUGGGAAAAGAAUAUCUAUGAAUUUAUAAGGCAGGUAAAGUCCUCUUCGCUAUGGCUGUGUGUGUUUUUAUCACCAAAGCAAAUAUUGUAAGUGACUGUAAUCUUUAUAUGUGUUGUUAGAAAUCUAUUCAGUAUUCCAUUUGUUCAAUUAAAAAAUACCUACUAAAAAUCUAGUAUAGGUAAAACAUUAGCGACAAAAACCCUGUGCUCAAAGGGCUUGGCUGGCUGACUAGUGGACCUCACGAAAUUAGAAGCUCCAUUUGCAUAAUUCCUUUGGUCUGCAAGAAGUUCUUUUUUUUUUUUCAGUUCUGAUUUUCCAAUAUAUCUCAUAGCAAACAUUUUAAAUUUUUGUGGGAACAUAAAGUCAGGUUGUAUUGGAUUGAUCUUAUGACUAUCAUCUCAACAUUUAGGCAAUAAGAGAUAAUGGUACAAUAGGGAAAUUAUUCAUGGCAUAUUCAAGUGAGGAGAACAAAAGAUAGCAAAGUUUCAGCCUUGUUUACAUUUCCAUUGGAAUCAAAAAGUUGUGUCAUUUCUGUCCUGAUGCUUUCUGGAAACAGUGAAGUAUGGAAGGGUAAGCCUCCUUUUCCUCUAGGAGGCCUUGUGUGGAAACUUCCACUGUGACCUGUCUGUCUCUGUGUUGGCCAGUUACCUGUCUCCAGGAAUGUAGAUUUAUGCCCCUAGAGCAUUACUGGGGUGCAACUAAAAGUCAAAGGCAAGACAUGGAAUGUAAUUAAAAGUUAUAUUUUAAAAAGAAUGUACAACCACAUUGUUCUAUUAAAAUUUGAGAGCCAGGCGCAGUGGCUCACACCUGUAAUCCCAACACUUCGGGAGGCAGAGGCGGGUAGAUCACCUGCAGUCAGGAGUUCGAGACCAGCCUCGCCAACAUGGUGAAACCCUAUCUCUACUAAAGAUACCAAAAUUAGCCAGGCAUGGUGGUGGGCAUAUGUAAUACCAGCUACUCAGGAGACUGAGGCAGGAGAAUUGCUUGAACCGGGAGGUGGAGGUUGUGGUGAACCAAGAUCACACCACUGCACUCCAGCCUGGGUGACACAGCAAGACUCCAUCUCAAAAAAAAAGUCAUUAUUUUUGCAAAUUUUUGAAGCAUAUGUGCCUUUUAUUGCUCUCCUUUUGACUCUGAUUCACUUUGAAAUUAGAUUUGGCAUAAAUUAUGUCUUAUUUACUAAAUAAAGGAAAACCAUUCUGGUCUUCCUUUUGCAAAGAAUUAAUUGUGUGAACUUGUGGGCAUCUUCUCAUUUCCCUAAACUUUAGACUCCUUAUUGUAAUAUGGAAACAUAAAUACUUAUCUUGCCUUCCACUGAGCUGUUGAAGAAUCAAACAAGAUAAUUUUAAGUGCUAAUCUUGUUAAAAAUUGUUAUGCAUUUGGUAACUCAGCAUCGUGGCUUAAAUAAAGGUUAGAAAGUUC
Gorilla gorilla gorilla (western lowland gorilla) is the source of this 5344-nucleotide long non-coding RNA. RefSeq lists it as uncharacterized. NCBI's taxonomy places the organism in Eukaryota, Metazoa, Chordata, Mammalia, Primates, Hominidae. The transcript has 2 exons. The record is from RefSeq and is a predicted model, not a curated record.